UAAAGCGUGCGCAGGCGGUUUUGUAAGACUGUCGUGAAAUCCCCGGGCUCAACCUGGGAAUGGCGAUGGUGACUGCAAGGCUAGAGUUUGGCAGAGGGGGGUAGAAUUCCACGUGUAGCAGUGAAAUGCGUAGAUAUGUGGAGGAACACCGAUGGCGAAGGCAGCCCCCUGGGUCAAAACUGACGCUCAUGCACGAAAGCGUGGGGAGCAAACAGGAUUAGAACCCGUGU
RNAcentral lists this ribosomal RNA (230 nucleotides) under uncultured bacterium. Its description in RNAcentral is "partial 16S ribosomal RNA". It matches the Rfam family "Bacterial small subunit ribosomal RNA", at positions 561 to 790 of the family's 1533-position model. The record is from RNAcentral.